UUUAUGGAGAGUUUGAUCCUGGCUCAGGAUGAACGCUGGCGGCGUGCCUAAUACAUGCAAGUCGAGCGAACGGACGAGAAGCUUGCUUCUCUGAU
RNAcentral lists this ribosomal RNA (95 nucleotides) under Staphylococcus aureus. RNAcentral's name for it is "partial 16S ribosomal RNA". It matches the Rfam family "Bacterial small subunit ribosomal RNA", at positions 1 to 92 of the family's 1533-position model. Lineage: Bacteria; Bacillati; Bacillota; Bacilli; Caryophanales; Staphylococcaceae. RNAcentral also lists the same sequence under 1 other name. The record is from RNAcentral.